This 756-nucleotide ribosomal RNA is filed under the name Oleoguttula mirabilis. RNAcentral describes it as "eukaryotic LSU rRNA". It matches the Rfam family "Eukaryotic large subunit ribosomal RNA", at positions 151 to 931 of the family's 3401-position model. Lineage: Eukaryota; Fungi; Ascomycota; Dothideomycetes; Mycosphaerellales; Teratosphaeriaceae. The record is from RNAcentral.
GUAGAGGAUGCUUCGGGGCAGCGGCCGGUCUAAGUUCCUUGGAACAGGACGUCAUAGAGGGUGAGAAUCCCGUAUGCGACCGGCUGGCACCCCACACGUAGCUCCUUCGACGAGUCGAGUUGUUUGGGAAUGCAGCUCUAAAUGGGAGGUAAAUUUCUUCUAAAGCUAAAUACCGGCCAGAGACCGAUAGCGCACAAGUAGAGUGAUCGAAAGAUGAAAAGCACUUUGGAAAGAGAGUUAAAAAGCACGUGAAAUUGUUGAAAGGGAAGCGCAAGCAACCAGACUUGUCGGCGGUGUUCACCCGGUCUUCUGACCGGGCUACUCGCCGCCGGCAGGCCAACAUCACCUGGGGCCGCCGGAUAAAGGUGUCGGGAAUGUAGCUCCCCUCGGGGAGUGUUAUAGCCCGGCGCACAAUACGGUGCGCCCCGAGUGAGGUCCGCGCUUCGGCUAGGAUGUUGGCGUAAUGGUCGUUUGCGGCCCGUCUUGAAACACGGACCAAGGAGUCUACCAUCUAUGCGAGUGUUCGGGUGUUAAACCCCUACGCGGAAUGAAAGUGAACGGAGGUGGGAACUUUAUUGUGCACCAUCGACCGAUCCUGAUGUCUUCGGAUGGAUUUGAGUAAGAGCAUAGCUGGUGGGACCCGAAAGAUGGUGAACUAUACCUGAAUAGGGUGAAGCCAGAGGAAACUCUGGUGGAGGCUCGCAGCGGUUCUGACGUGCAAAUCGAUCGUCAAAUUUGGGUAUAGGGGCGAAAGAC